GUAGGAGUGAAAAUCUGAAAAGGCACUCCUAACAAAAUGGGAAGUAGGAGUGAAAACCUGAAAAGGCACUCCUAGUGAAAUGAGAAAACGCGAGAUUGAAAAGCAUUUUCUGAAAAAGAAGAAUUCGAAAGGGCAUUAAGAAAAAUGAACAAAAGUGGGUGAAGGAAAAUCGAGGCAAAUGAUAAAGAAGAGAAUAAAAUGCCAUGCUUUGGAACUACUGUUGGUCUUCCUAUCGACUUAUCAGCUUCAAGUUCAGGAUUAAGUAAACUUUCAAUCGGAUGAGAUUCUUCAUCAGUUUUUCUUUGAAGCUUAAAUAUUAAUAAAAUCUUGCAUGUCUUAGUUCUUAUUUAUGGAAAGUUUACACAGUGGUAAGUCGUUAAUAACCAUGCAUUCAUCAUAUGUUUAGC
RNAcentral lists this unclassified non-coding RNA (407 nucleotides) under Hevea brasiliensis (rubber tree). Lineage: Eukaryota; Viridiplantae; Streptophyta; Magnoliopsida; Malpighiales; Euphorbiaceae. The record is from RNAcentral.